GAUGAACGCUGGCGGCGUGCCUAAUACAUGCCAGUCGAGCGAACGGACGAGAAGCUUGCUUCUCUGAUGUUAGCGGCGGACGGGUGAGUAACACGUGGAUAACCUACCUAUAAGACUGGGAUAACUUCGGGAAGCCGGAGCUAAUACCGGAUGAUAUUUUGAACCGCAUGGUUCAAAAGUGAAAGACGGUCUUGCUGUCACUUAUAGAUGGAUCCGCGCUGCAUUAGCUAGUUGGUAAGGUAACGGCUUACCAAGGCAACGAUGCAUAGCCGACCUGAGAGGGUGAUCGGCCACACUGGAACUGAGACACGGUCCAGACUCCUACGGGAGGCAGCAGUAGGGAAUCUUCCGCAAUGGGCGAAAGCCUGACGGAGCAACGCCGCGUGAGUGAUGAAGGUCUUCGGAUCGUAAAACUCUGUUAUUAGGGAAGAACAUAUGUGUAAGUAACUGUGCACAUCUUGACGGGACCUAAUCAGAAAGCCACGGCUAACUACGU
Molecule: ribosomal RNA, 496 nt
Filed under: uncultured bacterium
Lineage: Bacteria
Description: partial 16S ribosomal RNA
Rfam family: Bacterial small subunit ribosomal RNA
Source: RNAcentral